AGGUGAAUUGUUGUUAUUAUCAUUCCGGUGGUAAUUUCGGGGAGUCUAGGAACCACAUCAGCAGACAGCUUGUGAUGAUGUAGUAUGCUGUGGAGUUCGACUGUAACAUACCUCAUGCACGACUGUUACUAAGGCCAACAGUCACACGAGAAUUGAUCAAUGUUGUAGCGGCGCUUGACUGUUUCACUUCUCUUGUGUCACUACACAAUUGUGACGUUUAAAUGUCUGAAUAUAGUAAAUCUUGUGUUAAAUAUAGAAACUUUAAAACACCACUGUGAGUGGAAUCGUUCUACGACACGUAUAUAUCUAUACGCACGUUGAGGAUUUAGAAGUGGCGAGCUUUAAAUUUGUUUGGAAAGUAUCGGCGCGGUGAUUUCACAGUCUAAAUUACAAAGUAGCAGGAGCGAUGGAGUUCGUCUCGUGUAGAAAUUUGUCGCUGAAUCUAGUCAUCAACUGAAGUCAUCUGUCAGACCGCCACAGCUACAGAGAAUAGUUGAUUUCUGGGAACUUGGAGCGGAGUUCGGUUACAAUAUCACGGUGACGACCAUGAACGCCUUAUGAAUCGCGGAUUGAAGAGGAUAUAUUUCCGGUUUUAGUGGAACCCCCAGAAUCCGGAAAAGCUGAGGAAUGAAAUCUGAAGUUCGGUCUGAGCUGGAGCAUACCUCGAUGUCAGUCGUCAAUCCGCACAGAGAAUACGAGUUGGAAGAGUUUACCAUUUCCACACAAUAGACAGUUUGGACCAUGGUAGUCUCGGUGAAGGUUUCGGUCGGAAAUGGAAGUCCGGGUCCGAACCCGUUUACUAUAAUCUUCACACUGGUUUUUCUCGCGUUCCUAGCGAUUGUAAUUUUCGCAAUGACUAUGGAAGUUCUCCGCUUGAAAAGGAUUGCUGACAGCCUCACCACACUUAAUGAAACAACGACUGAUAUUAGUUACUCCAUGGACAACACGUGAUGCCUACAAAUCGUCUGUGAUUGGUUAGAAAUUCGUACACGUCACUUCCGUGUAUGACAUCAUUUCCUGUUUUGCGUGCCAUUUUACCGUAACAGGAAUGCCGAAUUGCCUGAUUGACAUUGAGCGCGAUCUAGCGGUGAGAAAUGCUCCUAAGGCUGAUAAUUCAGUCUAGUUUAACGGGAAGUACAAAAACCUACCGCUAUGACGAGUACUAACACGAACAGAAUGAACAUUAGGCGGCGGAAUCAAGGAUCAACGAGUUUAUUACCUCGACCACGAGAAAAGAUUUUGUUUCCUAAAUUUCUGUUUUACGUUAAGUUAUUUGUUUUACAUUUUUUAAUUGCUGAAUAUAAUAUAUUGUUUCGUAUAAGUAUGCCUACAAUUUUUUUUUUUUUUUUUUGUAUUUUAAAAUUUCCAUCCUAACUUUGAUGUUAUGCAGUGAACGGAAUAGCGUAUAGUUCCAAUUGCGGUGGACGCUAUUCCUUGAUUUCAAUUGUGACGUCAUUUUUAGGAGAUAGUUUCUCUUGUUGUUUUUGUUUGAUAUUGCCGGGGUAGAAAGUUGAGAACACAAAACAGAAAAGCGGCGAAGUCGUCUUUAAAAUGUUUUCGUGAUCAACUCACCUCAUUAACUGACGACUUUUAUCACUACUUCGUUUUAUGCAAAAAGUUUGUAUAUUUAUUACCGUGAUUAAUACAAUCCGUCGAUGCUUGCUAUCUGUUAAUGACUUUUUUAAUUGUCCAAUUUGCAUGUUUCAGCGAACAACAAACAGCCCGUUUGCUGUUUAUUGAUUUCACGUUCCUCGGCGAAACAAAGCGAGAAAUGGCUAGUCGAUUUUCAUCAAUAUUGUUUAUCUUUGCCAAGUCUUUAACCUUUUACAAAAAUAUUAGUCGGUAAAUAUAGUCGAGUUUAAAUAAAAAUUUUCCCGAGUGAAUCUCCUUGUAGAUUCUUAAUAUUUGGAAUUAUAUAUUACGUCAUCUAAGAUGACGUCGGAGACAUCAUGUUGGCCUAAAACAAGUUGAUGCAGACAGUGGUAAAGUUUUAUAUUCGAUAUAACUAAGAAAUAAUCUAUUUUCUUCUUUCAUAGGAAGUCGGGGGAUACUUGUUAAUACGCCAGGUGGUUCCUGUGGUUU
Molecule: long non-coding RNA, 2082 nt
Organism: Pecten maximus
Lineage: Eukaryota; Metazoa; Mollusca; Bivalvia; Pectinida; Pectinidae
Exons: 3
Source: RefSeq, a predicted model, not a curated record